GGGCACUUAGCUCAGGUGGUUUAGAGCGCUGCCUUCACAGGGCAGAGGUCGCAGGUUCGAAUCCUGCAGUGCCCA
RNAcentral lists this transfer RNA (75 nucleotides) under Chlorobiota bacterium. Its description in RNAcentral is "tRNA-Val". It matches the Rfam family "tRNA". Rfam says of the family: Transfer RNA (tRNA) molecules are approximately 80 nucleotides in length. Lineage: Bacteria; Pseudomonadati; Chlorobiota. The record is from RNAcentral.